Molecule: unclassified non-coding RNA, 273 nt
Filed under: uncultured Ascomycota
Lineage: Eukaryota; Fungi; Ascomycota
Description: sequence contains 5.8S rRNA gene, ITS2, 28S rRNA gene
Source: RNAcentral
AACGCACAUUGCGCCCCUUGGCAUUCCGGGGGGCAUGCCUGUUCGAGCGUCAUUGUCAAAACCUCAAGCCUGGCUUGGUGUUGGGCUCUCGCUCUCUCCUCCUGAAGAGGGGGAGGGGCGUGCCCGAAAAUCAUUGGCGGUGCUUCGAUGGCCUCAAGCGUAGUGGACUUGCUCGCGCUUUGGAGCGUCCGUCGUGGGCUCACCAGCCUCGAAUGUGCUUUGUCACACAAGAAGCUUGACCUCGGAUCAGGUAGGGAUACCCGCUGAACUUAA